GAUGAACGCUGGCGGCGUGCCUAAUACAUGCAAGUCGAGCGAACAGACGAGGAGCUUGCUCCUUUGACGUUAGCGGCGGACGGGUGAGUAACACGUGGGUAACCUACCUAUAAGACUGGGAUAACUUCGGGAAACCGGAGCUAAUACCGGAUAAUAUUACGAACCGCAUGGUUCGAUAGUGAAAGAUGGCUCUGCUAUCACUUAUAGAUGGACCUGCGCCGUAUUAGCUAGUUGGUAAGGUAACGGCUUACCAAGGCAACGAUACGUAGCCGACCUGAGAGGGUGAUCGGCCACACUGGAACUGAGACACGGUCCAGACUCCUACGGGAGGCAGCAGUAGGGAAUCUUCCGCAAUGGGCGAAAGCCUGACGGAGCAACGCCGCGUGAGUGAUGAAGGUCUUCGGAUCGUAAAACUCUGUUAUUAGGGAAGAACAAACGUGUAAGUAACUGUGCACGUCUUGACGGUACCUAAUCAGAAAGCCACGGCUAACUACGUG
RNAcentral lists this ribosomal RNA (497 nucleotides) under uncultured bacterium. Its description in RNAcentral is "partial 16S ribosomal RNA". It matches the Rfam family "Bacterial small subunit ribosomal RNA", at positions 28 to 507 of the family's 1533-position model. The record is from RNAcentral.